RNAcentral lists this ribosomal RNA (468 nucleotides) under uncultured bacterium. RNAcentral's name for it is "partial 16S ribosomal RNA". It matches the Rfam family "Bacterial small subunit ribosomal RNA", at positions 28 to 507 of the family's 1533-position model. The record is from RNAcentral.
GACGAACGCUGGCGGCGUGCUUAACACAUGCAAGUCGAACGGAAAGGCCCUGCUUUUGUGGGGUGCUCGAGUGGCGAACGGGUGAGUAACACGUGAGUAACCUGCCCUUGACUGUGGGAUAACUUCAGGAAACUGGGGCUAAUACCGGCUAGGAGCUCCUGCUGCAUGGUGGGGGUUGGAAAGCUUCGGCGGAUGGGGAUGGACUCUCGGCUUAUCAGCUUGUUGGUGGGGUAGUGGCCUACCAAGGCUUUGGCGGGUAGCCGGCCUGAGAGGGUGACCGGCCACAUUGGGCCUGCGAUACGGCCCAGACUCCUACGGUAGGCAGCAGUGGGGAAUAUUGCACAAUGGGCGGAAGCCUGAUGCAGCAGCGCCGCGUGCGGGAUGACGGCCUUCGGGUUGUAAACCGCUUUCGCCUGUGACGAAGCGGGAGUGACGUUAAUGGGUAAAUAAGCACCGGCUAACUACGUG